AACGAACGCUGGCGGCGUGCUUAACACAUGCAAGUCGAACGCGAAAGCCCUUCGGGGUGAUUAGAGUGGCGCACGGGUGAGUAAUGAGUAGGAACGUACCUAUUGGUGGGGAAUAACCCUGGGAAACUGGGGCUAAUACCGCAUAAGGUCGAAAGACGAAAGGAGGCCUAUCCUUGGAAGCUUCCGCCGAUAGAUCGGCCUACUUUCCAUUAGCUUGUUGGUGGGGUAAAGGCCUACCAAGGCAACGAUGGAUAGCUGGUCUGAGAGGAUGAUCAGCCACACUGGAACUGAGACACGGUCCAG
RNAcentral lists this ribosomal RNA (303 nucleotides) under uncultured bacterium. RNAcentral describes it as "bacterial SSU rRNA". It matches the Rfam family "Bacterial small subunit ribosomal RNA", at positions 29 to 334 of the family's 1533-position model. The record is from RNAcentral.